RNA transcript from Cottoperca gobio, 5623 nucleotides. It is a transcript of the gene named sterile alpha motif domain containing 4B, with no coding region annotated. Lineage: Eukaryota; Metazoa; Chordata; Actinopteri; Perciformes; Bovichtidae. The transcript is spliced from 14 exons. The record is from RefSeq and is a predicted model, not a curated record.
GUAUGACGUCGUACUCACGUCUUGCGUCAACUCAAAAUCGAAGUAGAUUUCUCCAGGCGUACACUCUUUAUUUUCUGCAUUGCAAUAAACGUUUUGUACAUAAAUUCUUUAACAUGGUCUGUUUAAAAUCGCGGGAGCUUGCUGCUUUAAAGGAAUAUCAUUAAGGGAUACCUCGUAUGGAAUCGAAAUCUACGCUUCUUUCAGCUAAGCUAACGUUAUUGCAUCUAUUAGCAAAACUUGCUAGCUAAGAAGCUAUCGCUAGCACUUAGCUAUCCCUACCCUAACGUCGAGCUAGCUGUGCGUUAGCACGUUAGCCUAGCUCGCUAACCAGUGACAACUGACAAAGAGCACGGAUGAUGUGAUCCUGAACAUGCCAAAGUGAAAAACAAAGCUUUUCCUGUUUGGGUCAUUACCAACUACGAUUGACAACUUUAAGCCUCACUUCAUCAGAUAUCUUCUCAAUAAUCCACACGGCAUCCCUGUCUGCAGUUCCUUCUGCACGUGAACCAUGUGAGGGCCCCUCGGUCCAGUCUGAGGGGAUCCCAGGACUGUUGCAAAUACGACCCCGCUGUGCGGGGUGAGACUGAUCCUGCCUGUGUCUGAAAGGGCAGUCUUUCCAGUAUCCCCCUCCCCAUACACACAUUCCUGUUCUCCUUACCGAGGAGACACGCCAUGAUGUUCCGAGAUCAAGUAGGUAUCCUCACAGAUUGGUUCAAGGGCUGGAAUGAGUGUGAACAGACGGUGGCACUGUUGUCCCUCCUGAAGAGGGUGUCCCGCACCCAGGCUCGCUUCUUACACAUCUGCCUUGAACACUGGCUGGCAGACUGCACAGAGAUCCAAAUCCUAGAAGCUGAGGCCAAUAAUGCAGCAAUUGUCAGCCAGUGGCAUCAGGAGCCAAAGGAAAAGGUUGUGUCCUUGCUGCUGUCCCAUCUGCCUCUGCUGCAGCCACGCAACAGCGAGGCCAAAUGUGAGUACAUGAAGCUGCUGCAGAAGGUGUUGAGUCACACUAUUGAGAGUAGCCUGUUUGUGGAAGAAAGCAGGCAGCUGCUGUCCUACGCGCUCAUCCACCCUGCCACCACACUUGACGACCGCACCUCUCUGGCCAUGUGGCUAAACCACCUGGAGGAGCACCUAUCCAGCGGCUACGCUCCCCGGGCCCCAUCUAGCCCCUACCACCCGCACCAGAGCUCAGAUGAAUGGCCCAGCUCGGCUGAGGCUCUGGAUCCCGGACACGCCUGGCACGACCAGUCCCCCUCAUCCAGCACGUCUUCAGCAGGCCAGAACGGACACAUGUCUUUCCCAGGUCUGGGUGGGCAGAUGCAGCCCAGCCCUCUGAAGAAGUCCAUGUCCGUUAUUCCUUCCAGUUCCCAGGCUUGUGGCUCUGAGUGGGUUUGCCAGGAUGACAUAGGUGGCCGGCAGAACUUCAUUCUAACAGACCACGCACCCCUUUCACCCCAAAGCAGCGUAGCCUCUUCUGGCAGUGAGCAGACAGAAGAACAAGGCUCCGCUCGCAACACCUUCCAAGAGGAUGGCAGUGGCAUGAAAGAUGUUCCAGCUUGGUUGAAGAGUCUCCGCCUUCAUAAAUAUGCAUCACUUUUCUCCCAAAUGACCUAUGAGGAGAUGAUGAUUCUCACAGAACACCACCUGGAGUCGCAGAACGUCACUAAAGGAGCACGGCAUAAGAUCGCCUUGAGUAUCCAGAAACUGCGAGAGAGGCAGAUUGUGCUCAAGUCUUUAGAAAAGGAUAUUUUGGAAGGGGGAAACCUGCGAAAUGCCCUCCAGGAGCUGCAACUGAUCAUCACCACACCCAUCAAGGCCUACAGCCCACCCAGUGCAGCACAGACUGCCCUGGACGCAGCAUUGGCCUUGGACACAGCCACCUCCCCUUCAGAAGCCACAAAAACAGGAGCAGACAAAGAGUCGGCCUCAGAGGGCUUCCAGUCCCACAAUCCACCUCCCUGUGAUGGAGACUCCUCAGCCACACCCAUCUCAGACGGCGACAUUGCUGGACAGUUCACCCGUGUCAUGGGUAAAGUGUGCACCCAGCUGCUGGUGUCGAGGCCAGAUGAGGAGAAUAUCAGCUGUUACCUUCAGCUCAUUGAGAAGUGUCUGACUCAUGAGGCUUUUACAGAAACUCACAAAAAAAGGCUGGUCUCCUGGAAGCAGCAGGUCCUCAAACUGCUUCGCCUGUUCCCUCGGAAAGCUAUGCUGGACAUGCCUGUGUACCGACAGAAAGGCUGGACCUAUGGGUCAAACUCCCUCCCCACAGCAGGCUCUGUGAGUGGAGUUGUAGGGCGGAGAGGACAAAGGCAGUUCCAGAUGACUCCUCGUGGACUCACAGCCGGACGCAUCGGUCUUCUGAGUCCCGGCGGGAUCGGGGGAGCAUCUCCUCGCCACACACUCACUAAUCCUGCGCUGGCAGGCCAGGGAAGACAAAACCUGUGGUUUGCCAACCCUGGGGGCAGUAACAGCAUGCCAAGUCAGAGUCGCAGCUCUGUGCAGCGGACACACUCACUCCCUGUCCACACGUCCCCACAAACCAUGCUCAUGUUCCAGCAGCAAGAUGAUCCAAUUUAAAGCUGGACACCACUCAUCACUGCACAUUCCUACAAAUGCCAAGUUCCAGGUGCUGACCUGGAGAUCAACCCCACGCUGGAGUCACUGUGCCUCAGUAUGACGGAGCAUGCCUUAGGGGAUGGAACAGACCGGACAUCAACAAUAUGAAAGGAAAAAUACACUUCAGUUGAGGCCUGUUCAGUUUCUCAUCACCCAGCACAAAGAUAUACGUAUGCUUAAGAAAACCAGGCAAAGCAGUCACUACAAAAUGACAAAAAAACUGUGUAUAUGUUCUCUAAUAUUUUUGUACUUUAUUAUAUACAACUAAGUUUAUUAAAAAUGGAAUACAGAUGAUUAUUAUAUUGCAGGACAGAAACAAACCGCAAACUGCUCCGUGUCACCUGCAGGACUGUGACAUGAAGUGCAGAGGCUCAGUUUGCCGUGGUCUGAGAGAAAAAUGGUGGAUUGGUGCUGUCUUAAAGGGGUUCUGCCCUACGAGUUACUCUUCUUUUCCUCCUGCCUUGGAGCAAGGCUUCUUUCUAGAACACACUGACAGCCACAGCCCCUGCACCACAUAAUGUGGAAAUUCAGAAAAUGUCCAGCUAGAAGUAAGGCACUUUUAUUAGAAGAUCUCUGAUAUUAGCCACUAAACUGUAAUUGGCCCAAGGAUACACUGAGGUUCCACUUGUAGACAGUUAUUGAUAUACAGAUAACAAUACGCUUCCUAACCACCCUAAUUGUUCUAUAACCAGUGCGGUGCUUGUGUGGAGGUGAGGGCUUGUGUUGGAUGAAACUCAGACCUCUUUCCUUGGUUCUUUUUAUCCUCCUUAGAGGACAUGUUUUUGUGGCAAAAGCAGGAAAUGGAAGGCCAAAAGGAUUGAGGUAAAGCUUGUAAUUCAACCAAAGGUGUACCCUUUGUCUUGGUUAAUUUCCCUGAACACAUAGUCAAAGCAGAAGUGACUGUCCUCCUCUAAACGUCUACAAAGCCAAAGAGAAGGGUUGUGCGAUUGUUAAUUUGAGAUGGAUAUUUGUAGUGAAAUGCAAAAGAAUGGUGUUUUUUUUUUUUUUUUUUUUUAAUAUAAAAAGAACAGCAGUCCGAAUAAUUUAUGCCAGCUGCAAUUUGUCUCAGUUAUUUUAUGCCCUAUUACGUAGAUGAUGAUGAUGAAUCCCAUUUUGUGCCGAGGAAUCACCAGAGGGGUGAAUAAGGGCUGGUGAGGUUUGUACUGUGCGAGAGCUGAUUUGAUAUUGAAUUGAUAAAAGCGAGGAGGGUAGAGUGUUUUCAAUUUACAUUUUAAUGCUGGGUGGGAAAACUAAAUGAAACCCAUCUCAACCCUCUGGCCACCUUUAUGAUUGGCUCUGGAAAAUGAAGCUUGAUCUUGUAAUAAAUACUCCGGAGUGGAGCGCAGCGCCUCACCCUCACAGUGCCCUCUUCCUCAAAUGGCCAACGUGACGAUUUGAUGAAUCAUACUUUUCAAGGUGCUUGACUAUGUCCAUAUUUUCUGUUUGUGUCUCAAUGUGUUUCAGUCUCAGAACCCUAACAUUAUCAUAUGGUGUCAGUGUUGAAUCAAAAACUUGUCUUAUACGGCCUCUGUCUUUGAAUGUGGCAGAGCGGAGGUGCAUGUAUGUGUAAUAUGGUCUUAACUUUUGGAUUGCAUCAUAAGGCAGGGAUAACCAUUCACAUUUUAUUUCAGCAGAGCCAUAGGAGGUCUGUCUAGUAAAGAUGGUUAUUUACAGAUAUCUUUUCCAAUUGUAUUUUUUACUCUCCCUUGAUAUUGAUAACUUAUGCUUAUUUUCUAUAAUCGCAUGUUUUGCCACACUAAUACAGCACUGUUGUAGAUAGAGGACAUGGUGGUUGAUGGUGCCCAGAGUCACCAACAGCUUCAGAGCAGAAAUCUUGCAACUAAUGUAUGUUUAUACCGCCUAAAUGUCACUGUUUACAUCUAUCUUGGAUAAUGCCCAAUUCAUGUUAUGUAAUGUCAUGAAUUCAUUGUCUCACUAUGUAACACAUUAAAGAACUGACGCCUUCUCGCACAUGAGAUGGCUGGGUAGAGCCUGAAAACAAAAGCUAUCUACCCCCUUAUCCAUGGACUCCGUAUGAGCCUCAGUAGGUUUUUUUCAAGUGAUAUCUGUAUGGGGCAUGUAACGCCUACUUUUCUGGUCAUGCGGUGUCGAGAGAGAUAGCUUUCUGGACUUGUGAUUGAACUGUUGGCUGUCAUGUCCUGAUAAACUGUUCAUGUGGUGCCUGAAAUGCACAGCUCCAGCAUCCUCAUGUCGAUUUAAUGGUCUUGAGUAGUAUUCUAGUCAUGGAUUUCUUCAGAGCAGGCUCUUGGAUAGAUCUGACUUAUUAAAAGCAUCACACUCAUGCCCGCAAAGGACUUCAGUGAGAUAACAAUGCUGACAACUUUAAGACUCGGCUAUCUUAUUUUUAACUUCACUAUACUGUAUAUCAAUUAUGUUAUGUUACAAAUGGCUCAGAUUAUCCUUUUCAUGGCCUCUGUCGCUUUGGACAGCCUACAUAUUACUGCAAAAAGACACAGGUACAGUGCAGCAAAUUUCUGCAAAUGUCCAAAGAUGCAGCAGAGGAUGACGAUGCUAAUCUGAGCCACAGAUUAUGUGAUUAUAUGAGUAAACAGAACACUAAUAACAGGCCAAGGUAUAUGUUUACUCCAUGUUUACAUUCCAGUGAUGCAUGAAGUGAGUUGGAAAAUGCACUUCACGAGUUCAGCCUGGUGUAUUUUCACAUACCAAGCAUCCACUAGGAGGUACAGAGCCUGUCAUAUGGACACAUCUACCAAGUGGUCUCAAGAUCAUGUUAAUGUCCCUGCCAGGCUUAAUUAUUAUUGAAUUGAUGCAGCCAGCUGUAGGCUACAUUGCAUAUAUUUGUCUUGUACAAUUUAUAUUUAAUUCUGAUGAUUCCCCAGACAUUUUCUAAUAUUUUAUGAACCUUUUGCAUCCCAUGCUUACUCUACUUUUUUACUGUCACUCAUAUGUGUGAAUGGUCUGAAGUGCAGCAUCCGUCGGAUCAUUGACAGUCCAAAUAAAGAGGUUCAGUUCUUUUGCAACUUCA